ACGGGAGGCAGCAGCUAAGAAUAUUCCGCAAUGGACGAAAGUCUGACGGAGCGACGCCGCGUGGAUGAUGAAGGUCGGAAGAUUGUAAAAUCCUUUUUAGCAUGAAGAAUAAGCAGGGAAGUUAAUGGCCCUGCGGUUACGGUAGUGCUUGAAUAAGCAACGUCUAAUUACGUGCCAGCAGCCGCUGUAAUACGUAAGUUGCGAGCGUUGUUCGGAAUUAUUGGGCGUAAAGGGCAUGUAGGCGGAUAUGCAAGGUUGGUGUGAAAGGCGGGAGCUCAACUCCCGGACUGCGUUGAGAACUGCAUAACUAGAGUGACUGAGGGGCAGGCAGAAUUCCAGGUGUAGGGGUGAAAUCUGUAGAUAUGUGGAAGAAUACCAAUGGCGAAGGCAGCCUGCCAGCAGAUGACUGACGCUGAGGUGCGAAGGUGCGGGGAGCAAACAGGAUUAGAUACCCUGGUA
RNAcentral lists this ribosomal RNA (459 nucleotides) under uncultured Treponema sp. RNAcentral describes it as "partial 16S ribosomal RNA". It matches the Rfam family "Bacterial small subunit ribosomal RNA", at positions 341 to 792 of the family's 1533-position model. The record is from RNAcentral. Lineage: Bacteria; Pseudomonadati; Spirochaetota; Spirochaetia; Treponematales; Treponemataceae.